This 2266-nucleotide ribosomal RNA is filed under the name human gut metagenome. RNAcentral describes it as "bacterial LSU rRNA". It matches the Rfam family "Bacterial large subunit ribosomal RNA", at positions 14 to 2299 of the family's 2925-position model. The record is from RNAcentral.
AGGGCGCAUGGCGGAUGCCUUGGCUCUCGGAGGCGAUGAAGGACGUGAUAAGCUGCGAUAAGCUCCGGGGAGGUGCAAAUAACCUUUGAUCCGGGGAUUUCCGAAUGGGACAACCCGGCGUGUUGAAGACACGCCACCUGAUCAUUUCAGGAGCUAACGCAGGGAACUGAAACAUCUUAGUACCUGCAGGAAAAGAAAAUAACAAUGAUUCCCCCAGUAGUGGCGAGCGAACGGGGAAUAGCCCAAACCGUUCAUGUUACGGCAUGAUCGGGGUUGUAGGACUACGUCGUUGCAUGAAGACAUCGGAGAAGAACUUUCUGGAAAGAAAGACCAUAGAGCAUGACAGUUGCGUAUUCGUAUGUUGUCGAAGCAUAGUAGUAUCCUGAGUAGCGCGGAGCACGAGGAAUUCUGCGUGAAUCUGCCGGGACCAUCCGGUAAGGCUAAAUACUCCCGAGAGACCGAUAGCGAACCAGUACCGUGAGGGAAAGGUGAAAAGCACUUCGAACAGAAGAGUGAAAUAGUUCCUGAAACCGUGCGCCUACAAGCGGUCGGAGCUCAGCAAUGAGUGACGGCGUGCCUUUUGCAUAAUGAACCUACGAGUUGCCUUUGCCGGCAAGGUUAAGUGUGACGACACACGUAUCCGAAGCGAAAGCGAGUCUGAAGAGGGCGUAUAGUCGGCAGUGGCAGACGCGAAACCAAGUGAUCUACCCUUGGCCAGGUUGAAGGCUGGGUAACACCAGCUGGAGGACCGCACCAAUAAGCGUUGAAAAGCUUCUGGAUGAGCUGAGGGUAGGGGUGAAAGGCUAAUCAAACUUGGAGAUAGCUCGUACUCCCCGAAAUGCAUUUAGGUGCAGCCUUGUGGGUUACUGAUGUGAGGUAGAGCGACUGAUAAGAUGCGAGGGCUUCACCGCCUAUCAAGUCUUGACAAACUCCGAAUGCGCAUCAGUUUUACCUCAGGAGUGAGGGCAUGGGUGCUAAGGUCCGUGCCCGAGAGGAGAAGAAUCCGGACCACCUGCUAAGGUCCCGAAAUGACAGCUAAGUUAAACUAACGAAGUCUGACUGCUAAGACAGCUAGGAUGUUGGCUUGGAAGCAGCCAUUCAUUUAAAGAGUGCGUAACAGCUCACUAGUCGAGGAGUCUGGCGUGGAUAAUAAUCGGGUAUUAAGUUGUCUACCGAAGCAGUGGGAUCAUUGAAAUGAUCGGUAGGGGAGCAUUCCAGUCAGCGUCGAAGGCGUACCGCGAGGUAUUCUGGAGCGUCUGGAAAAGCAAAUGUAGGUAUAAGUAACGAUAAAGGGGGCGGGAAACCCCCUCGCCGAAAGACUAAGGUUUCCUGAUCAACGCUAAUCGGAUCAGGGUAAGUCGGGUCCUAAGGCUCAGCCGAAGGGCGAUGCCGAUGGCAGAAACGGUUAAUAUUCCGUUACUACCUCCAGGAGUGAUGUGGAGACGCAGUAGUGACAAUGCCGCCAUCUGACGGAAUAGAUGGUUGAAGGGUGUAGAUGUUGAUCUUGGCAGGCAAAUCCACCAUGAGAAUCGAACCUGAUAGUAUGCCGCGUCCCUCGGGACAAGGCAAUAGUGCAUGUAAUCAUGCUGCCAAGAAAAUCCGCUAAACUAAAUCCUGUAGGUACCCGUACCGUAAACGGACACACGUAGUCGGGAUGAAUAUUCUAAGGCGCUUGAGUGAUUCACGGUUAAGGAACUAGGCAAACUGACCCUGUAACUUCGGGAUAAAGGGUCCCUACCCGGUGACGGGAGGGCGCAGAGAAUAGGUCCAGGCAACUGUUUAACAAAAACACAGGGCUGUGCUAAAUCGAAAGAUCCUGUAUACAGCCUGACACCUGCCCGGUGCUGGAAGGUUAAGAGGAGACGUCAUCGUUGAGAGAAGCGUUGAAUUGAAGCCCCAGUAAACGGCGGCCGUAACUAUAACGGUCCUAAGGUAGCGAAAUUCCUUGUCGGGUAAGUUCCGACCUGCACGAAUGGUGUAAUGAUCUGGACGCUGUCUCAACCGUGAGCUCAGUGAAAUUGUAGUAUCGGUGAAGAUGCCGAUUACCCGCGAUGGGACGAAAAGACCCCGUGAACCUUUACUAUAGCUUAUCAUUGAAUCUGGGCACGUGAUGUGUAGGAUAGGUCGGAGGCUUUGAAGGGGGUACGCCAGUAUCCUUGGAGCCGCUGUUGAAAUACGACCCUUCAUUUGUUUGGAUUCUAACCCGUGUAUAUGGGGACACUGAUUGGUGGGUAGUUUGACUGGGGUGGUCGCCUCCAAAAGCGUA